AUUGAACGCUGGCGGCAUGCUUUACACAUGCAAGUCGAACGGCAGCGCGGGCUUCGGCCUGGCGGCGAGUGGCGAACGGGUGAGUAAUGCAUCGGAACGUGCCCAGUAGUGGGGGAUAGCCCGGCGAAAGCCGGAUUAAUACCACAUACGACCUGAGGGUGAAAGCGGGGGACCGAAAGGCCUCGCGCUAUUGGAGCGGCCGAUGUCGGAUUAGCUAGUUGGUGGGGUAAAGGCUUACCAAGGCGACGAUCCGUAGCUGGUCUGAGAGGACGACCAGCCACACUGGGACUGAGACACGGCCCAGACUCCUACGGGAGGCAGCAGUGGGGAAUUUUGGACAAUGGGGGCAACCCUGAUCCAGCCAUGCCGCGUGCGGGAAGAAGGCCUUCGGGUUGUAAACCGCUUUUGUUCGGGAAGAAAUCCUCUGGGCUAAUACCCCGGGGGGAUGACGGUACCGGAAGAAUAAGCACCGGCUAACUACGUG
This 484-nucleotide ribosomal RNA is filed under the name uncultured bacterium. RNAcentral's name for it is "partial 16S ribosomal RNA". It matches the Rfam family "Bacterial small subunit ribosomal RNA", at positions 29 to 507 of the family's 1533-position model. The record is from RNAcentral.